GCCAAAAUUAAAAGAAAUACUCGUCAAAAAGGAAAUUUCAUACCCCACUAGAUCUCAGAGAAGUGAACUGAAAGAAAAAUCCCCACAAACGACUAGCCAGAUGCAAUCAUGUCCUUCAAUCUCUUCACCGUUGAAGUUUGUUAUGGUUACAAUUCUUUCCCUUCUUUGAUUCCUUCCACAACUUUGAUUCAUUUCCAAACUUCAAUUCCUUCAUUAAGAUAAAGUUCAAAUUUAAG
This is a long non-coding RNA of Carya illinoinensis, 236 nucleotides long. RefSeq lists it as uncharacterized. The record is from RefSeq and is a predicted model, not a curated record. Lineage: Eukaryota; Viridiplantae; Streptophyta; Magnoliopsida; Fagales; Juglandaceae. The transcript has 3 exons.